RNAcentral lists this ribosomal RNA (253 nucleotides) under uncultured bacterium. RNAcentral's name for it is "partial 16S ribosomal RNA". It matches the Rfam family "Bacterial small subunit ribosomal RNA", at positions 524 to 776 of the family's 1533-position model. The record is from RNAcentral.
UACGUAGGCAGCAGCGUUGUUCGGAGUUACUGGGCGUAAAGGGUGCGUAGGCGGCUUUUUAAGUUUUGGUGUGAAAUCUCCCGGCUCAACUGGGAGGGUGCGCCGAAUACUGAGAGGCUAGAGUGUGGGAGAGGAAAGUGGAAUUCCUGGUGUAGCGGUGAAAUGCGUAGAUAUCAGGAGGAACACCGGUGGUGUAAACGGCUUUCUGGACCAUAACUGACGCUGAUGCACGAAAGCGUGGGUAGCAAACAGG